CCAUUUAUUGUCGAAAUUUGCCAUUAGAAAGAAGUAGUGGAGAACAUGCAUUGUCCGCAUUUAAAAGUAGAAGCAAGUUCUUAGUUGUCGAUGCAGGAGGCGGCACUGUUGAUAUAACUGUCCAAGAGAUUACUACAAAUGGGGCUAUGAAAAACAUCUUCAAAGCCAGUGGUGGUGAUUGGGGAGGAACGAAAGUUGACGAGGCAUAUUUCAAUAUCCUAGCUGAUGUUGUUGGAAAUGAAACACUGCUGGAGUACAAAAGAACACACAUGGAAGAUUACUUAAUUUUGAUGUGGAAUUUCGAGGUUAAAAAGAGAGCUAUUAACCCAUUAAAG
This is a long non-coding RNA of Mya arenaria, 335 nucleotides long. RefSeq lists it as uncharacterized. Lineage: Eukaryota; Metazoa; Mollusca; Bivalvia; Myida; Myidae. The transcript is spliced from 3 exons. The record is from RefSeq and is a predicted model, not a curated record.